RNAcentral lists this ribosomal RNA (404 nucleotides) under uncultured prokaryote. Its description in RNAcentral is "bacterial SSU rRNA". It matches the Rfam family "Bacterial small subunit ribosomal RNA", at positions 355 to 774 of the family's 1533-position model. The record is from RNAcentral.
UGGGGAAUAUUGCACAAUGGGCGAAAGCCUGAUGCAGCAACGCCGCGUGAGCGAUGAAGGCCUUUGGGUCGUAAAGCUCUGUCCUUGGGGAAGAAAAAAAUGACGGUACCCAUGGAGGAAGCCCCGGCUAACUACGUGCCAGCAGCCGCGGUAAUACGUAGGGGGCAAGCGUUAUCCGGAAUUAUUGGGCGUAAAGGGUGCGUAGGUGGUUUUGUAAGCGCGGGGUGAAAGGCAAUAGCUCAACUAUUGUAAGCCUUGCGAACUGUAAGACUUGAGUGCAGGAGAGGAAAGCGGAAUUCCUAGUGUAGCGGUGAAAUGCGUAGAUAUUAGGAGGAACACCAGUGGCGAAGGCGGCUUUCUGGACUGUAACUGACACUGAGGCACGAAAGCGUGGGGAGCAAACA